GACGAACGCUGGCGGCGUGCUUAACACAUGCAAGUCGAACGGAAAGGCCCCUUUGGGGGUACUCGAGUGGCGAACGGGUGAGUAACACGUGAGUAACCUUCCCUUGACUUCGGGAUAACUUCAGGAAACUGGGGCUAAUACCGGAUAGGAAUCCUUGCUGCAUGGUGGGGGUUGGAAAGCUUCGGCGGCUUUGGAUGGACUCGCGGCUUAUCAGCUUGUUGGUGGGGUAGUGGCUUACCAAGGCUUUGACGGGUAGCCGGCCUGAGAGGGCGACCGGCCACAUUGGGACUGAGAUACGGCCCAGACUCCUACGGGAGGCAGAAGUGGGGAAUAUUGCACAAUGGGCGGAAGCCUGAUGCAGCAACGCCGCGUGCGGGAUGACGGCCUUCGGGUUGUAAACCGCUUUCAGCAGGGGCGAAGCUUUUGUGACGGUACCUGCAGAAGAAGCACCGGCUAACUACGUG
Molecule: ribosomal RNA, 464 nt
Filed under: uncultured bacterium
Lineage: Bacteria
Description: partial 16S ribosomal RNA
Rfam family: Bacterial small subunit ribosomal RNA
Source: RNAcentral